AUUGAACGCUGGCGGCAUGCUUUACACAUGCAAGUCGAACGGCAGCGCGGGCUUCGGCCUGGCGGCGAGUGGCGAACGGGUGAGUAAUACAUCGGAACGUGCCCAGUAGUGGGGGGUGGCACGACGAAAGCAGGAUUAAUACAACAUCCGACAUGAGGUUGAAACCCGGGGAUCUUCGGACCACGAGGCAUUGGCGCGACCGAUGGAAGAUUGCCCGGUUGGUGGGGUAAAGGCCUACCAAGGGGACGACCUAUAGCUGGUCUGAGAGGACGACCGGCCACACUGGAACGGGGACACGGCCCAGCCUCCUACGGGAGGCAGCAGUGGGGAAUUUUGGACAAUGGGCGAAAGCCUGAUCCAGCAAGGCCGCGUGGGUGAUGAAGGCCUUCGGGUUGUAAAGCACUUUUGGCGGGAACGAAAAGGACUGUGCCAAUACCACGGUUCGAUGACGGUACCCGCAGAGUAAGCACCGGCUAACUACGUG
This 484-nucleotide ribosomal RNA is filed under the name uncultured bacterium. Its description in RNAcentral is "partial 16S ribosomal RNA". It matches the Rfam family "Bacterial small subunit ribosomal RNA", at positions 29 to 507 of the family's 1533-position model. The record is from RNAcentral.